GAAAAGAGGGAUGGGGGAAUUGAGGGAGAGAAUGGGGGAAGGAAGGAGGGAAGGGAGAAGGGAAUGUUGAGGAAAAAAAUAUAGGGAAAGGAGUUAUAAAAAAUUCAACGAUAGGGAAAUGAAUGAGGAAAAAGUAUAAGUAUAAUAAGUAUAAACACAGAUAGGGAAAGGUAAAGGUGGGUGCAGACCUAAUAGCUGCGCGUGGCUUCGGUGCUCAUCUCCGAACUUUUGGUCCUUUAUUCCUGUGGUGGAUAAGAAGCUAAGAACCAUCACCCCGGGACUCAGGUCAGUGUGAAAUUCGGUAUAUCCACAGUUCACCUUCCCCAGGUUUCCCCAGGUACACAUUUAUUCACCAGUCCGAAAGGGAGGAUGAACACCUGGGUGGGCUGUGCGUGAAUGAAAAAUCGAGAUAAACAAUGAAUGAGGAAAGUAUGAGAGGAAGGAGUGAGAAAAAGACAAAAAUUAGAAAUGAGUGAGGAAAACAACAAGUAUAACAAACCAAUAAACAUAACUGGAAGAACCAUUAAAACAACAAAAGAUAAAAGAGAACAAGUGUUAAUAGCACAAAAAAAUGUGCUAGAUCGGCGUCGCAUGACCCUUCAACACGCCCCCAACAAUUUAUAUUAUGUAACUAGGGGUCUAAAAUGGAAAAUGCUGAAAAGUAGAGAUGGCGCCACUAUAAACACUUACCUGCGCCACAGCGGGCUGGGGCCGACCAUUAGGCCCUACUAUGAAGGCAUACCGGCGCCAGAGGCCAAGACGUUACAAAAAAAAAUAUCAUGCCAUGUUGUAGGAUUCAUCAGGGCUAACAAAUGUUAUUAUACAAUGUCAUGUCUACAAUGCAAGGACGACGCCGAUAAAAAGACCAGAGGAGAGAGACUGAUCGCCCAGUGACAACCAGGACAACCUUUACCCAGCGAGGCUCUCAACAAGAUAACGGCUCGAGAAUGUUUUGAGGCUGCUGACAGACAGGUAUCAGGACACCUCUCCUCCUGAAAUUGACCCCUCUUUUUGGCCACUCCUUUGACUUCUAUUCGGGAGCAGUAAGUAGCGGGCUUUUUUUUUAUAUUUUUCUUUACGCCCUUGAACUGUCUCCUUUGCUGUAAAAAAAAAAAAAAUAGACGUGAAACUUUGCACUCAGCUCCAUCGACGAAGAAACGGUGAAAAAAAACAUUGAUAACUUCGACGAUAAGAUUAAGACCUGAGUGUGACAUUCUCAGUGCGGUCACGUCAACUGGGAAAAAACACGCACACACAAAUUGGAAAGUGAAAACUGAUGCCAAUAAAAAUUAUACUAAGUUAAGUUAAGCCCAUAUUUUUACGCCUCGGUACCUCUGUUUGCCCGUUUGGAAAGCCACUCCUCUAUCCACCACAGAGGCAGAGAAAGACCUGGGACUUUAUAUUAAGGGGCUAUUACACUGGGCAAAUUUUCCGUGGAUCUUCAGUCAAACCACGAUUUCCGCUGGCUUGGUUCUCAUGUUACCGUGGUUUUCUGACGUGUCCACGAUCUUCCAAAGUUACGGCAGAUUUCACCAAAGGACGACGGUAUUACUCACCAUCAUCAUCAGCAGCAAUAACAAGAAACAAAUGAGUACCACGCUAUCGGAAAUCGUGGUUUGACUGAAGAUCCACGGAAAAUUUGCCCCUUGACCAGGCUAUCAGAAGGCCAAGUCCGUGCCAAUCGCAGCGGACGGGUUAAUAUACUGAAGGACUAAGCAAAUUGGAAACUAUACCAAUCUGAAGAGAACUUUGAUGUAUUAAAAGGCUUGGUAAACUGGAGUGCCGACAUAGCAAGAAAGAGGAGAAAUAAUUAACUUAAAAUCUUAAUAUUCAAACUUAUAAAGACGUCGCAAACUUAACCUCUCUACAUUGCAAGAAAGAAGAGAGGUGACUGACUUAAAAUCAUACUUGGAACUCAUUAAAAUUGCACAAAAUAAACCUUCCCAUAUCAAAAUAAAGAAGAAAGGGAACUGACUCUAUCAUGAUCAUCAAAUUCAUACAGAUUGCGCAAAAUGGAGCUGUUUAGAUUGCAAGAAAGAAGAAAGACUUGCUGGUAAAUAAUAGUGGAAGAACAAGGCGAUUCGAACAUAAUAUUAGAUUCGACUUACGGUAUUGGAACUCACAAAGGGCCAGGAACAUACAGACGCGGAAGACUCACUGGUAAAGAAUAGUGGAAGAACAAGGCGAUUCGAACAUAAUAUUAGAUUCGACUUACGGUAUUGGAACUCACAAAGGGCCAGGAACAUACAGACGCGGAAGACUCACUGGUAAAGAAUCGCGGAGGAACAAGGCGCCAUGAACCUAAACCGAGGAAAACAAAUGACGAGAGAAUGUAAACAGCAAACUAUCGCCAUCCGCAACAGACUCAGGACGCGGGGAUGAUAAAUAAUAGACCAGAACAACCAUGAAUCGAAAGCAAAGUUGGGAGGAAAGCAGAUUUGAGGUAGAGAGGAUAACACGAGAAGGAGAAAGAGGAUGAAAGGGAAGUAAAAGAAGAAAGAGGUGGAGGAGGAAGAAGAGGACGUGGAUUAAGAGGAGAAAGAGGAUGAAAGGGAAGUAAAAGAAGAAAGAAGUGGAGGAGAAAGAGGAAGAGGACGUGGAUUAAGAGGAGAAAGAGGAUGAAAGGGAAGUAAAAGAAGAAAGAAGUGGAGGAGAAAGAGGAAGAGGACGUGGAUUAAGAGGAGAAAGAGGAGGAGACAGUGAUGAGAAGGAUGAGGAAGAAGACAAAGAAUAUGAAGAGGAUGAGGAGUGGACAACGAAGAUGAGAAUUAGAGGAACAUGACAGGAACAAAGACAACAUCGAGAACACACACACACACACACACACACACACACACACACACACACACACACACACACACACACACACACACACACACACACACAC
Molecule: long non-coding RNA, 2887 nt
Organism: Eriocheir sinensis (Chinese mitten crab)
Lineage: Eukaryota; Metazoa; Arthropoda; Malacostraca; Decapoda; Varunidae
Exons: 2
Source: RefSeq, a predicted model, not a curated record